ACAACAGGACUGGAGUGGGAGUACUGGAAGACGACGGAAGAGAACAGCCACUGACAUGAAAGGUCUGUGCUUCUGUUCCACACUGGAAAGUCCUGGAGCAAAGUCUAUCCCCUUUUGAAAGGCAUAAAAUAGUUGAGCCUCAU
Molecule: long non-coding RNA, 143 nt
Filed under: Coturnix japonica (Japanese quail)
Lineage: Eukaryota; Metazoa; Chordata; Aves; Galliformes; Phasianidae
Description: lncRNA (ENSCJPG00005002990.1)
Source: RNAcentral